CAUGGCCUUCGUGGUGUCCGUCGCCGUGUCCAUGGUGGUGUCCAUCGCGGUGUCCGUCGGCGUGUCUGCCGCGGCCCUGAAGGCCCCUCACCUGUCCUGUGCGGCCCUGCGGCUGCCCGCAACCCCGCCGCCCCGGCUCCCCUCUCGCCAUCCGCCGACCUAAGCCUCUGCACCCGACCCCGAGACGGGUUCUCCCCGCAAACCCCGCAUCCCUCCUCCCUGGGUGGCUCAUCCACAUUGACCCACACGGACAGAAGCUUGUUUCUACCGCGCCCCCGGGGGCUCCAUGGCAGAGCGUUGCCUGCAGCCCAGCGCGUGACCCCGGGUCCCGGCAUCGAGGCCCGCGGCGGGCUCCCGGCGUAGGGCCUGCGUCUCGGCCUCUCUCUGCGUCUCUCAGGAAAUCAACACAUAAAAUCUUAAAUUUAAAAAACAUAAAUAAAUAAAUAAAAUAAAAGAGCCCAUGUCCUCGACCCUCAGCUUUCCCAGAGCAGGAGGACUUAAGGGGCUCGCCUGCACCGCGCUUGGGCCUCCGGCGGACGACGAGCCGAGCCAAGGCCGCCGGCUGCUCGCUGAGGAGACCAGUCGCCAGCCGCACGCUUCCGGCCGAGCUUCCGGUCCCUGCCGAGUUUCCGGUUCCGGCCGAGCGUCGGGCUCGCCGAGGCCCACUCUUCCUUGCGUUUCGGAAACGGGAAGCGCGACAGCUUCGUGUAAAAUCACCUGUUCCACACUGGCUUUCUCAUCAUCUGAAAUUCCCAGGAACCUCAACAUACAGUUGUAAAGCUUUUUUUACAGAACGCUUGAAAUGCCAUCUCAAUAAUACCUUAACAAAUCCUGUGAUUUUGGAAGGAUGAAUUAUUACUGCCUCCCUGAGAUGACUCAUCCAGUGUCUCCUUUAUACCUGUUACAACAGUUGUGAACUAGGGGUGUGAACUGUGGGGAGGGAGGUGAGCUUUUACGAGGUUGGUUGGGCGAAGAGUUUGAACUUCUCUUAAAGGUAUGGGAUGCCAAGACAGGACUGAGAUCAUGGAAGGGCAUUCUAGAAAGAUCAUUCUAGUAGCAAUGUGUAGGAUGGGUUAAAGCAGGAUGGGGGCAGAGCUGAUGCGGGGAGAGUACACCCAAAAGCUGGUAAGCGCUUGGGCGAAGGAACAGGCAUUGAGAACAGUGAAGGGAUGGAUUCAGAAGUAAGAAACCAAAGGCCCUGAGACAAAGUGAAUAUACAGAGUAUGAGAAAAAUCCAGACUAUCUGAGAGCCUUGGAAAUUGCAUGGAAUAUGCUGCACAGUAAAUACAGCUGACCCUUGAGCAAUGUGGGUUUGAUCUGUGCAGGUCCAUCUACACUGGAAAUCUUUUUUUUUUUUUAUAAACACAGUACUGAAAAUGAUUUUAAUAACAUUCUCUUUCCUCUAGCUUACUUUAAGAAUGUAUGUAACAGUAUGUAACAUAGAAAAUACGUGUUAGUCGGCUAUGUUAUUGGUAAGGGUUCUGGUCAACAGUAAGCUAUAUUAUCUAUAUUAUGCUCUAGUUGCUCCAUCAUUAAAAUGUAUAUUUUAAAAUGUAUAUUCUUUCUUAAUUAAAAUGUAGCUCAAAAUUCCUAAACAGUAUCCCUUCUAAUAACAUGUG
RNAcentral lists this long non-coding RNA (1619 nucleotides) under Canis lupus familiaris (dog). RNAcentral's name for it is "lncRNA (ENSCAFG00845025039.1)". The record is from RNAcentral. Lineage: Eukaryota; Metazoa; Chordata; Mammalia; Carnivora; Canidae.